This 506-nucleotide ribosomal RNA is filed under the name uncultured bacterium. RNAcentral describes it as "bacterial SSU rRNA". It matches the Rfam family "Bacterial small subunit ribosomal RNA", at positions 29 to 509 of the family's 1533-position model. The record is from RNAcentral.
AACAAACGCUGGCGGCGUGCCUAACACAUGCAAGUCGUACGUGAAAGGGUCCUUCGGGAUCCGAGUAAAGUGGCGCACGGGUGAGUAACGCGUGGAUAAUCUGCCCUUUAGUCGGGAAUAACUCAUCGAAAGGUGGGCUAAUACCGGAUAAUGCUGUUUUUACCUCGGUGAGACAGCCAAAGGGGGCCUCUACUUGUAAGCUCUCGCUUAAGGAUGAGUCCGCGUACCAUUAGCUAGUUGGUAGGGUAAAGGCCUACCAAGGCGACGAUGGUUAGCUGGUCUGAGAGGAUGAUCAGCCACACUGGAACUGAGACACGGUCCAGACUCCUACGGGAGGCAGCAGUGAGGAAUCUUGCGCAAUGGGGGAAACCCUGACGCAGCAACGCCGCGUGAGUGAGGAAGGUCUUCGGAUCGUAAAGCUCUGUCGGGUGGAAAGAAAGGCAUGGGAGCCAAUACCUCUCAUGUUUGACGGUACCACCAAAGGAAGCACCGGCUAACUCCGUGCC